CACUCCUGUGAUUCUACAUCAGACAGAUGGUAGCAAGACAUCUGGAGCUUAUCUGCGGGUGCCGAAUUGUCCCUAACCAACAAGGGAAAGGGGCUGUGGCUGGCUUCAACCCCAGUGGCUCUGGAACAAACACCUGCCGCCAGUGACUGGUGCCCUGAAUAAGAACACAUCAGGAGUCUAUGCUUUGCCUCUGCUCCUCCUAACACCUCAAAAGGAAUAGGAUGAGAAGACCCUCCUCUCUGGAAGACUACACAACACACUCACCCUGCCACCUCCAGGAGGAAGAGACCCAGUGAUGUAGGAAUAAAAGCUUCCUCUCAGGCA
RNAcentral lists this long non-coding RNA (324 nucleotides) under Mus spicilegus (steppe mouse). RNAcentral's name for it is "lncRNA (ENSMSIG00000008635.1)". Lineage: Eukaryota; Metazoa; Chordata; Mammalia; Rodentia; Muridae. The record is from RNAcentral.